Molecule: unclassified non-coding RNA, 515 nt
Filed under: uncultured Bordetella sp.
Lineage: Bacteria; Pseudomonadati; Pseudomonadota; Betaproteobacteria; Burkholderiales; Alcaligenaceae
Description: partial 16S-23S ribosomal RNA intergenic spacer
Rfam family: Bacterial small subunit ribosomal RNA
Source: RNAcentral
GUUUCAGAGUCAUGGCUCGGAAUUGAACGCUGGCGGGAUGCUUUACACAUGCAAAGUCGAACGGCGGCACGGACUUCAGUCUGGUGGUGGCGAACGGGUGAGUAAUGUAUCGGAACGUGCCUAGUAGCGAGGGAUGCUGCCGAAAGCGCUAGCUGUGCGCCAUGCCCCUUCGAGGAAAGCGAGACCUUCGGGCUCCUUUAUUCACGACGCUUGCGAUAUCGGACCAGCUACACGGUUGGUGGGAACUUGGCUCUGGGGCGACGAUCGUGACUGGUUUGAGAGGACGACCAGCCACACUGGGACUGAGACACGGCCCAGACUCCUACGGGAGGCAACAGUGGGGAAUUUUGGACGUGGAAGCCUGGUCCAGCCAUCGAUGAUGACCGUUAUUCGAAUUUGUAAAAGCACUUUUGGCAGGAAAGAAACGGCACGGGAUAUGCAUUGCAUGAUAAUGCCUGCAGAAUAAGCACCGGCUAACCUGUGCCUUAGCCGCGAUAUGCGUAGAUUCGACAAUG